AGAGAAUUGAUUUUUAAUAGUUAAAAGUUGAAUAUUAUAAUACCUGUAUUUUAUAUGUGAAUGUAAAUAUAUGUGUCUAUAUUGUGUGUGUAUGUAUAUAUAUCCUCAAUCCUUUUUCUUUGAUACUUUUCCUACUGUGGUAAAUUGAACUAUUUUUCUCAGUUGUUACCUUCCUCCCACUAAAGAGUUUUUGCAUGCUUUCUCUUUGCCACAAUUUUCUCAGUAUCUUCUCUAUAGGUGAAGUAUACCUUCCCUGCCCCAUCAACUUUGGCCAUGGUCUUGUGACAUGCUUUGGCUAGUGGAAUACAUGUGGAUAUUAGUUAAGCCAUGUCUGAGCAGAAGCUUUAAAUGAGCUUGUGUGAUUUGUCUCCAUCUAUCCUUGACCAUCUGUCUUUCACUGUAAGAACACCAAGUCCUAUGUCUGGCUGCUUCCUCAGUCUGGAUUCCAAGAUGAAUGGACACACAGAGCUGGCCCGAUGGACCCAGCUCAGCCUAGAAUGGAUUCACCGCCUUCUUCUAGAGGUUUACUCCUUUGACAACACCAACCCAGAUAACCUCACCAUCUUAUAGAAAAGCCAUAUGUAUAUUCACCUUAGCUGAUUUCAAGAGCCCACAUUUAAAAGAAAUUACUUGGGAAGUCUUGCCUUUGUAACUUCAAAGACCAGGAUGCUGGUUUAUAUUUGUCUGCAGGAAUAGUGGAAAGGUAAGAGAAAGAGGAGACUCUUCUGAUCAUGACCCUACCUUCUCUCUCUAUAAGUUCUUCCUGGACUACCAGUACCAGGCA
Molecule: long non-coding RNA, 784 nt
Filed under: Felis catus (domestic cat)
Lineage: Eukaryota; Metazoa; Chordata; Mammalia; Carnivora; Felidae
Description: lncRNA (ENSFCAG00000046614.2)
Source: RNAcentral